Molecule: ribosomal RNA, 1389 nt
Filed under: uncultured marine bacterium
Lineage: Bacteria
Description: bacterial SSU rRNA
Rfam family: Bacterial small subunit ribosomal RNA
Source: RNAcentral
GAGUUUGAUCCUGGCUCAGGAUGAACGCUAGCGGCAGGCCUAACACAUGCAAGUCGAGGGGUAACAUAGAAAAGCUUGCUUUUCUGAUGACGACCGGCGCACGGGUGCGUAACGCGUAUACAAUCUGCCUUAUACUGGGGUAUAGCCUUUAGAAAUGAAGAUUAAUCCCCCAUAGCCUCUUUUAAUGGCAUCAUUAUUAGAGUAAAGGUUACGGUAUAAGAUGAGUAUGCGUUCUAUUAGUUUGUUGGUGAGGUAACGGCUCACCAAGACUACGAUAGAUAGGGGCCCUGAGAGGGGGAUCCCCCACACUGGUACUGAGACACGGACCAGACUCCUACGGGAGGCAGCAGUGAGGAAUAUUGGACAAUGGAGGCAACUCUGAUCCAGCCAUGCCGCGUGCAGGAAGACUGCCCUAUGGGUUGUAAACUGCUUUUGUACAGGAAGAAACCUUGGUACGUGUACCAAGCUGACGGUACUGUAAGAAUAAGGAUCGGCUAACUCCGUGCCAGCAGCCGCGGUAAUACGGAGGAUCCAAGCGUUAUCCGGAAUCAUUGGGUUUAAAGGGUCCGUAGGUGGAUAAUUAAGUCAGAGGUGAAAUCUUGCAGCUCAACUGUAAAAUUGCCUUUGAUACUGGUUAUCUUGAGUCAUUAUGAAGUAGUUAGAAUAUGUAGUGUAGCGGUGAAAUGCAUAGAUAUUACAUAGAAUACCAAUUGCGAAGGCAGAUUACUAAUAAUGUACUGACACUGAUGGACGAAAGCGUGGGUAGCGAACAGGAUUAGAUACCCUGGUAGUCCACGCCGUAAACGAUGUUACUAGCUGUGUGGACUUCGGUCUGCGUGGCUAAGCGAAAGUGAUAAGUAACCCACCUGGGGAGUACGUUCGCAAGAAUGAAACUCAAAGGAAUUGACGGGGGCCCGCACAAGCGGUGGAGCAUGUGGUUUAAUUCGAUGAUACGCGAGGAACCUUACCAGGGCUUAAAUGUAAGUUGCAUUAGUUAGAGAUAGCUAUUUCUUCGGACCACUUACAAGGUGCUGCAUGGUUGUCGUCAGCUCGUGCCGUGAGGUGUCAGGUUAAGUCCUAUAACGAGCGCAACCCCUGUUGUUAGUUGCCAGCGAGUCAUGUCGGGAACUCUAACAAGACUGCCGGUGCAAACCGUGAGGAAGGUGGGGAUGACGUCAAAUCAUCACGGCCCUUACGUCCUGGGCUACACACGUGCUACAAUGGUCGGUACAGAAAGCAGCCACUGCGCGAGCAGGAGCGAAUCUAUAAAACCGAUCACAGUUCGGAUCGGAGUCUGCAACUCGACUCCGUGAAGCUGGAAUCGCUAGUAAUCGGAUAUCAGCCAUGAUCCGGUGAAUACGUUCCCGGGCCUUGUACUCACCGCCCGUC